RNAcentral lists this long non-coding RNA (372 nucleotides) under Anas platyrhynchos platyrhynchos (common mallard). RNAcentral describes it as "lncRNA (ENSAPLG00000027590.1)". Lineage: Eukaryota; Metazoa; Chordata; Aves; Anseriformes; Anatidae. The record is from RNAcentral.
CUCAAGCAAAUGUGUUGUGAGCUUCCCCAAAGGCUCUCUUUUAUCUUUUUAUUAUGCCUUUACUUAACUUCCCGCUGCCGCCCACACUGGGAAAUCCUCUGCAUCCUCCUGGCUCCACCGAUAGUGGGGAUUGCAGGGGAGACGAGCAGGGCACGGACCCGGGCAUCCUGUCCUGCUGCACCCAGAGCAUCGCAUGAGCUCCCGGGCUCCACCACCACGGUGGGGACCUACUGCCAUCCGAGGGGGCCUGUGCUCAUUCCUUUGGGGGGCCAAAUCUAGGAGGCGAGCGCGCAUCGGAUGCCCGUCCCAGCGGCGUGCGGAGCCGGCGGGGGUAAGCGUGCCCGGCGGGGCACGGAGCGGGCGGAGGGGCUG